Molecule: ribosomal RNA, 258 nt
Filed under: uncultured bacterium
Lineage: Bacteria
Description: partial 16S ribosomal RNA
Rfam family: Bacterial small subunit ribosomal RNA
Source: RNAcentral
AUUGAACGCUGGCGGCGUGCUUAACACAUGCAAGUCGAACGGUGAACCGGGCUUCGGCCCGGGGAUCAGUGGCGAACGGGUGCGUAACACGUGGGCAACCUGCCUCAGACACUGGGAUAACCCCGGGAACCGGGGACGUAAUACCGGAUACUCCGACCGGACUGCAUGAUCCGGCCGGGAAAGCUCCGACGGUCUGAGAUGGGCCCGCGGCCUAUCAGCUUGUUGGUGGGGUAACGGCCCACCAAGGCGACGACGGGA